Molecule: ribosomal RNA, 271 nt
Filed under: uncultured archaeon
Lineage: Archaea
Description: partial 16S ribosomal RNA
Rfam family: Archaeal small subunit ribosomal RNA
Source: RNAcentral
CAGCGCCACAAGUGGUAACCGUUUUUAUUGGGCCUAAAGCGUUCGUAGCCGGUUCAUUAAAUCUUUUGUGAAAUCGUUAAGCUCAACUUAACGGCGUGCUUAAGAGACUGAUGGACUAGGAACCGGGAGGAGUCAGAGGUAUUUUUGGGGGAGUGGUAAAAUAUUAUAAUCCCAAAAGGACCACCUGUGGCGAAGGCGUCUGACUAGAACGGAUUCGACGGUGAGGGACGAAAGCCAGGGGAGCAAACCGGAUUAGAUACCCGCGUAGUCC